AGGGCGGCAGUCUGGUCGGCGGGAGCGUGCAGUUGUCCAGGUAAGGAUGUGUGUCUGUGUGGAUGUCUAUGCAUUUAUACAUACAGUAUGCUGGUGCUGUGCAUCUGUGCUUGUGUUUGCCGGUGUGUUUGUGUGUGUGUUUGUGUCUGUGUGUUUGUAUGUGCCUGUCUCUGUGUUUUGCGUUUGAUUGCACAGCUCCAGUGGUGAGGUCCCUAGCUCUCUCCCUUCCCUGUCUGUCUGUCACUGAGAGGAUCACAGCUCCA
Molecule: long non-coding RNA, 263 nt
Organism: Oncorhynchus tshawytscha (Chinook salmon)
Lineage: Eukaryota; Metazoa; Chordata; Actinopteri; Salmoniformes; Salmonidae
Source: Ensembl